Non-coding RNA from Oryctolagus cuniculus (rabbit), 2512 nucleotides. NCBI's taxonomy places the organism in Eukaryota, Metazoa, Chordata, Mammalia, Lagomorpha, Leporidae. The record is from RefSeq and is a predicted model, not a curated record.
GGUCAGCAUCCCAUAUGGGCGCCAGUUUGAGUCCCGGCUGCUCCACUUCUGACCAGUUCCCUGCUAACGCACCUGGAAAGCAGCAGAGGAUGGCUUACGUCCUUGGGUCCCUACACCCAAGUGGGAGACCUGGAAGAAGCUCCUAGCCCCUGGCUUCAGAUUGGCCCAGCUCCAGCUGUUGCGGCCAUUUGGGAAGUGAACCAGCAGAUGGAAGACCUUUCUCUCUGUGUCUACAUCUCUCCCUAACUCCAUGUUUAAAAUAAAAUCUUAAAAAAAUUUUUUUUUAUUCCUCAUCCGGCAGCCCCGCGGAGUAAGUUUUCAGUGCCCUUGGGUAACUUGGGCAGACAGCAGGUGAGCCAACCUGGGACUCUGUGGAGGAGGGACAUUAUGAUGCCCCUGGAGAGGACAAAGGCCCACCUGGUAUGACCCACACUCCCUCAGCCCACAUGAGGCACUGCACUGCCUGGACAAGACAGCACCCAGACCAGGGAGCCCUCCUGGACACUGGGCCACCGGCUCAGGCGCAGCCCGGGAGCACCACCUCGGCCAUGGGUCUUGGGGCACAAUCAUCUCGCAGGACCAGAGUCCAGCUCAGAGCACUUCCUCGUUGACCAGGCACAAGGGGGCACCUGGUGUCUCAUGGCUGGGAUCCUCACACCAGCCACAAGCGGCGGGUGCCCCCCAGUUUUCUCCCAGCCAGAUUCACAGCCCAGCACAGCAGCUUCCAAGGCCCUGCCCUCCUCAGCAGUGCUACCCACAGCCAGCCAGACCCCCGGGCAGGCCAGUGGUGGUGGUAAAAUGUUCUCUGAGAAACAGAGACGGGGGAGAGCUCCCACCCUUGGGUUUACUCUCCACAAUGGAAGGGGCUGGGCUGGACCAAAGCCAGGAGCCCAGAGCUCAAUCCAAGUCUCCCUCAGCUACUUGGAGCCACAUCACUUGCUUCCUCCUAGGGUAUGCGUUAACGCGAGGCUGGAGUCAGAAGCCAGAGCCAGGUAUUGAACCCAAGAAGUUCAUUAUGGGAUAUAGGCGUCCCAAGUGGCAUCUUAACCAUCAGGCCCAAUGCAAGCUCUGUCUUUGUUUUAGUAACUUAAUUUAUUCCUGGUUUUAUCAUCACACUCUAGCUGUGGAGAUUCAGACUUAGCAGGAUCUGGGGUAAGGCCUAGAUGAUUCUUUUUUCUUUAAAUUUCACUUGAGAGGAAGUGAGGGAAGGAGAGGAAAAGAGAGAGAGGUCACUCCUAUCCACCAAUUUACUCCUCAAAUUCCCAAAUGGCCGAGACUGGGCUAGGCUGACGCCAAGAGCCAGAAACUCAAUCCAGAUCUCCCAACAUGAGUGGCAGAGACCCGACUACUUGAGCCGUCACUGCCACCUCUCAGGGUCUGCGUUAGCAGAAGAUGGAAUUGGGAGUGGAGACAAGACUUGAACCCAGCCAGGGCGAGGCCAGGCUGAAGCCAGGAGUCUAGAACUGCAUCUGGGUCUCCCAUGCGCCCGGGGGAGCCUGAGAGCCGGCCAAUGGGACCUUCCUACGGGAAAGGAGGCAACCUGCACACCCAGGAGCAGUGACACUGCCCCUCACCUCCACCCAGCGCUUCAGGAUCAAGCCCCCCUAUCCAUUUCCCAUUGCCACUGUGAAGAAGUAUACAAGCUCCAUAGGUUAAAGAAGACAAAUUUAAUAUCCCAUCACCUGCAGGCAAGAGCUCCACAGUGGGCCUCAGGGCGCUGGCACCAGGCGAUGGACUGGGCUGUGUCCCUUCCAGAUGCCCCGGGGGAGGAACACCCAUUUCCUGGUCCUCUCCCAGCCUCAGAAGCUGCCUGCAUCCCUCAGCUGGCGGCCCCUGCAUCCCUCAGCUGGCGGCCCCGCCUCCAUCUAAAAGCCAGCAGCACAGUGUGGGUCUCUCUUCCUGGCACCUCCUGCCUUCCUCUUCCAUCUCAGAAGGACCUGGGAGGACCCUGGACUCACCCUGCUAACCUCCAGGUCUUUAACUUAAUCGCACCUGCAAAGGAGCACAUUCCCUGGUGUGGGGAUUAGACGGGGGCCAUCUCAGGGAGCCGGGAAGUGGGUCAAGGGUCUGUGGGUGGCGUCGCCGCCCGCCCUCAGCACAGCGACCCUGGGCAGCUGGCCCCAUCUCCUCAGCCUUGGUUUCCCCUUGUGGAAUGGUGAUUAUGAUACUGUUGGGAGAGAAAUGGUAACUCCCAGGUAGCAGCUUGCCAUUACUCUUUGGUGCCCCAGACCGCGGCAGGGCUCGGAGGAGAUGGGGAAGUCCUUGGAACUGGACAGCAGGGGGUCGCUUGCCCUUCCAGCCUCCAUCCCGAGCCCUCAGGGAGGAGGCUGGGCAGAGUGGGAACAAUCAUGGGGUGGGGCCACGGGGUCAUAGUGGGGGCCUCCUUUAAAUAGAGCCCGAGCCCCGGGGGGAGCCCUGCAACAUUAACAGCAACAGCAGGUGUGCAGGCCUCAGCCCUCCCCCAUCCCCCCCACCCCUAGGCAGCCGCAGCCGAGCUCGGCCCAAGCCGCCU